GCCUUCAUGAAGCCGGAAUUGCUAGUAAUGGCAGGUCAGCAUACUGCCGUGAAUACGUUCCCGGGCCUUGUACACACCGCCCGUCACACCAUGAGAGUUGGGAAUACCCGAAGCCUGUGAGCUAACUUUUAGAGGCAGCAGUCGAAGGUAGAAUCAAUGAUUGGGGUGAAGUCGUAACAAGGUACC
This 186-nucleotide ribosomal RNA is filed under the name uncultured bacterium. RNAcentral's name for it is "partial 16S ribosomal RNA". It matches the Rfam family "Bacterial small subunit ribosomal RNA", at positions 1314 to 1500 of the family's 1533-position model. The record is from RNAcentral.